UACGGAGGGGGCUAGCGUUAUUCUGAAUUACUGGGCGUAAAGCGCACGUAGGCGGCUUUGUAAGUAAGAGGUGAAAGCCCGGAGCUCAACUCCGGAACUGCCUUUUAGACUGCAUCGCUUGAAUCCAGGAGAGGUGAGUGGAAUUCCGAGUGUAGAGGUGAAAUUCGUAGAUAUUCGGAAGAACACCAGUGGCGAAGGCGGCUCACUGGACUGGUAUUGACGCUGAGGUGCGAAAGCGUGGGGAGCAAACAGG
RNAcentral lists this ribosomal RNA (253 nucleotides) under uncultured bacterium. RNAcentral's name for it is "partial 16S ribosomal RNA". It matches the Rfam family "Bacterial small subunit ribosomal RNA", at positions 524 to 776 of the family's 1533-position model. The record is from RNAcentral.